This 468-nucleotide ribosomal RNA is filed under the name uncultured bacterium. Its description in RNAcentral is "partial 16S ribosomal RNA". It matches the Rfam family "Bacterial small subunit ribosomal RNA", at positions 28 to 507 of the family's 1533-position model. The record is from RNAcentral.
GACGAACGCUGGCGGCGUGCUUAACACAUGCAAGUCGAACGGAAAGGCCCUGCUUUUGUGGGGUGCUCGAGUGGCGAACGGGUGAGUAACACGUGAGUAACCUGCCCUUGACUUUGGGAUAACUUCAGGAAACUGGGGCUAAUACCGGAUAGGAGCUCCUGCUGCAUGGUGUGGGUUGGAAAGUUUCGGCGGUUGGGGAUGGACUCGCGGCUUAUCAGCUUGUUGGUGGGGUAGUGGCUUACCAAGGCGUUGACGGGUAGCCGGCCUGAGAGGGUGACCGGCGACAUUGGGACUGAGAUACGGCCCAGACUCCUACGGGAGGCAGCAGUGGGGAAUAUUGCACAAUGGGCGGAAGCCUGAUGCAGCAACGCCGCGUGCGGGAUGACGGCCUUCGGGUUGUAAACCGCUUUCGCCUGUGACGAAGCGUGAGUGACGGUAAUGGGUAAAGAAGCACCGGCUAACUACGUG